RNAcentral lists this ribosomal RNA (558 nucleotides) under uncultured bacterium. RNAcentral describes it as "bacterial SSU rRNA". It matches the Rfam family "Bacterial small subunit ribosomal RNA", at positions 61 to 665 of the family's 1533-position model. The record is from RNAcentral.
GUCGAACGCAGUAGCAAUACUGAGUGGCAGACGGGUGAGUAUAAUGUGGGAAUCUGCCUUUUGGUUUGGAAUAACACGAGGAAACUUGUGCUAAUACCGGAUAAGCCUUUACAGGGAAAGUUUUAAUGCCAAAAGAUGAGCCCGCACUUGAUUAGCUAGUUGGUAAGGUAAUAGCUUACCAAGGCAACGAUCAAUAGCUGUUCUUAGAGGAAGACCAGCCACAUUGGGACUGAGACACGGCCCAAACUCCUACGGGAGGCAGCAGUGGGGAAUCUUGCACAAUGGGGGCAACCCUGAUGCAGCGAUGCCGCGUGAGUGAAGAAGGCCUUUGGGUUGUAAAACUCUUUCGUCGGGGAAGAAAAUGACUGUACCCGAAUAAGAAGGUCCGGCUAACUUCGUGCCAGCAGCCGCGGUAAUACGAAGGGACCUAGCGUAGUUCGGAAUUACUGGGCUUAAAGAGUUCGUAGGUGGUUAAAAAAGUUGGUGGUGAAAUCCCAGAGCUUAACUCUGGAACUGCCAUCAAAACUUUUCAGCUAGAGUAUGAUAGAGGAAAGCAGA